ACCCAUACAAAAGGUCAGCGAGCACUGUCACAUCCAGUAAAUGUUGAAGCAAUGAUAGGUUUAAAAUAUAAACCAAAAGAAGUUUACUGAACGUGACGGGGAGACUAUUGAUCCACAGUUGGUUGUUAGCAACGUACUGAAGCUAGGUUUCUACCCGCUCUCGUAUUUAAGGCAAAUGGAUGUUGCGAUUACGAAACCAAGAGAAAAGACCAUUAGCAGAAAUAUAGAUUGAACAGCCCGGAACUUAGGAGUAGGACGGAUUUAAAGCGGAUCUGAGAGGGUAAAAGGUGACAUGGAUACAGCAGGGGAAUUAUUUUGUACCCAAGACAUCCGAUCGACAAACUGGUUUUUAAAAUCAGCUUUAGGUGGGACUGGUAAGCAUGUCCUUGAAAUGCUGACGCAGGUUCGCAAACAGGUCGUUGGUGAAAAGGAGCAAAAUAGAAAAACAACUAUAUUAUUAUUGACGUCAGA
Long non-coding RNA from Daphnia magna, 471 nucleotides. RefSeq lists it as uncharacterized. The record is from RefSeq and is a predicted model, not a curated record. The transcript has 3 exons. Lineage: Eukaryota; Metazoa; Arthropoda; Branchiopoda; Diplostraca; Daphniidae.